ACGCUAGCUACAGGCUUAACACAUGCAAGUCGAGGGGCAUCAGGAAGAAAGCUUGCUUUCUUUGCUGGCGACCGGCGCACGGGUGAGUAACACGUAUCCAACCUGCCCUUUACUCGGGGAUAGCCUUUCGAAAGAAAGAUUAAUACCCGAUAGCAUAAUGAUUCCGCAUGGUUUCAUUAUUAAAGGAUUCCGGUAAAGGAUGGGGAUGCGUUCCAUUAGGUUGUUGGUGAGGUAACGGCUCACCAAGCCUUCGAUGGAUAGGGGUUCUGAGAGGAAGGUCCCCCACAUUGGAACUGAGACACGGUCCAAACUCCUACGGGAGGCAGCAGUGAGGAAUAUUGGUCAAUGGGCGCUAGCCUGAACCAGCCAAGUAGCGUGAAGGAUGAAGGCUCUAUGGGUCGUAAACUUCUUUUAUAUAAGAAUAAAGUGCAGUAUGUAUACUGUUUUGUAUGUAUUAUAUGAAUAAGGAUCGGCUAACUCCGUGCCAGCAGCCGCGGUAAUACGGAGGAUCCGAGCGUUAUCCGGAUUUAUUGGGUUUAAAGGGAGCGUAGGUGGACUGGUAAGUCAGUUGUGAAAGUUUGCGGCUCAACCGUAAAAUUGCAGUUGAUACUGUCAGUCUUGAGUACAGUAGAGGUGGGCGGAAUUCGUGGUGUAGCGGUGAAAUGCUUAGAUAUCACGAAGAACUCCGAUUGCGAAGGCAGCUCACUGGACUGCAACUGACACUGAUGCUCGAAAGUGUGGGUAUCAAACAGGAUUAGAUACCCUGGUAGUCCACACAGUAAACGAUGAAUACUCGCUGUUUGCGAUAUACAGUAAGCGGCCAAGCGAAAGCAUUAAGUAUUCCACCUGGGGAGUACGCCGGCAACGGUGAAACUCAAAGGAAUUGACGGGGGCCCGCACAAGCGGAGGAACAUGUGGUUUAAUUCGAUGAUACGCGAGGAACCUUACCCGGGCUUAAAUUGCAGUGGAAUGAUGUGGAAACAUGUCAGUGAGCAAUCACCGCUGUGAAGGUGCUGCAUGGUUGUCGUCAGCUCGUGCCGUGAGGUGUCGGCUUAAGUGCCAUAACGAGCGCAACCCUUAUCUUUAGUUACUAACAGGUUAUGCUGAGGACUCUAGAGAGACUGCCGUUGUAAGAUGUGAGGAAGGUGGGGAUGACGUCAAAUCAGCACGGCCCUUACGUCCGGGGCUACACACGUGUUACAAUGGGGGGUACAGAAGGCAGCUAGCGGGUGACCGUAUGCUAAUCCCAAAAGCCUCUCUCAGUUCGGAUCGAAGUCUGCAACCCGACUUCGUGAAGCUGGAUUCGCUAGUAAUCGCGCAUCAGCCACGGCGCGGUGAAUACGUUCCCGGGCCUUGUACACACCGCCCGUCAAGCCAUGGGAGCCGGGGGUAAAAGAAGUCCGUAACCGCAAGGAUCGGCCUAGGGUAAAAC
RNAcentral lists this ribosomal RNA (1432 nucleotides) under uncultured organism. Its description in RNAcentral is "SSU rRNA". It matches the Rfam family "Bacterial small subunit ribosomal RNA". The record is from RNAcentral.